This 400-nucleotide ribosomal RNA is filed under the name uncultured bacterium. RNAcentral's name for it is "bacterial SSU rRNA". It matches the Rfam family "Bacterial small subunit ribosomal RNA", at positions 355 to 770 of the family's 1533-position model. The record is from RNAcentral.
UGGGGAAUAUUGCACAAUGGGCGAAAGCCUGAUGCAGCGACGCCGCGUGAGUGAAGAAGGUCUUCGGAUCGUAAAACUCUGUCCUUGGUGAAGAAAAAAAUGACGGUAGCCAAGGAGGAAGCCCCGGCUAACUACGUGCCAGCAGCCGCGGUAAUACGUAGGGGGCGAGCGUUGUCCGGAUUUACUGGGCGUAAAGGGUGAGUAGGCGGUUAUAUAUGUCAGAUGUAAAAGGCGUAGGCUCAACUUACGUAAGCAUUUGAAACUGUAUAACUUGAGUGCAGGAGAGGUAAGUGGAAUUCCUAGUGUAGCGGUGAAAUGCGUAGAUAUUAGGAGGAACACCAGUGGCGAAGGCGACUUACUGGACUGUAACUGACGCUGAGUCACGAAAGCGUGGGUAGCA